CGUAGGUGGCAAGCGUUGUCCGGAUUUACUGGGCGUAAAGCGCGCGCAGGCGGUUCGGUACGUCCGGCGUGAAAGCUCCCGGCUCAACUGGGAGAGGGCGUUGGAUACGGCCGGACUGGAGGGCGGUAGAGGUCGUGGAAUUCCCGGUGUAGUGGUGAAAUGCGUAGAGAUCGGGAGGAACACCUGUGGCGAAGGCGGCCGACUGGGCCGUCCCUGACGCUGAGGCGCGAAAGCGUGGGGAGCGAACCGGAUUAGAUACCCGGGUAGUCCACGCCGUAAACGAUGUGCACUAGAUGUGGGGGUAUCGACCCCCCCGCGUCGUCGCUAACGCAGUAAGUGCACCGCCUGGGGAGUACGGCCGCAAGGCUA
This 369-nucleotide ribosomal RNA is filed under the name uncultured organism. Its description in RNAcentral is "bacterial SSU rRNA". It matches the Rfam family "Bacterial small subunit ribosomal RNA", at positions 526 to 896 of the family's 1533-position model. The record is from RNAcentral.